UGCCAGCAGCCGCGGUAAUACGUAGGUGGCAAGCGUUGUCCGGAUUUAUUGGGCGUAAAGCGAGCGCAGGCGGUGGUUUAAGUCUGAUGUGAAAGCCCCCAGCUCAACUGGGGAGGGUCAUUGGAAACUGGAUCACUUGAGUGCAGAAGAGGAGAGUGGAAUUCCAUGUGUAGCGGUGAAAUGCGUAGAUAUAUGGAGGAACACCAGUGGCGAAGGCGGCUCUCUGGUCUGUAACUGACGCUGAGGCUCGAAAGCGUGGGUAGCAAACAGGAUUAGAUA
RNAcentral lists this ribosomal RNA (279 nucleotides) under uncultured bacterium. Its description in RNAcentral is "partial 16S ribosomal RNA". It matches the Rfam family "Bacterial small subunit ribosomal RNA", at positions 506 to 784 of the family's 1533-position model. The record is from RNAcentral.